GAACCAGUGGUGCAAUGGACAACACAUCUGACUACAGAUCAGAAGACUCCAGGUUCAACUCCUGGCUGGCUCG
Molecule: non-coding RNA, 73 nt
Organism: Chiloscyllium plagiosum (whitespotted bambooshark)
Lineage: Eukaryota; Metazoa; Chordata; Chondrichthyes; Orectolobiformes; Hemiscylliidae
Source: the annotation of a RefSeq genome assembly